AGCAAGAGCAUGGAAGAAAAUGAGAUGAUGAAGGCAUAAAAUGGAUUGGUAAAGGCUGAAGAGAUCCCAGAGAAAGUGUCGAUAACACAACAUUCCACCAAGGAGCAGAGGGUUGUAUUUUGGUUCAUGAUGUAAAUAUACAUAAGACUUUCACUAAGCUAGAUAAGUGGCAUGGUGAGUUUCUUCACCAGACGCCCAUCAUUGUGGCUAUUGAUCAAUUCAGCUACUCAAUCCUCACAACUGCAAAAACGGAAUGGCAGUCAUAUCAUUAACGUUGGAAAUAAGAGGAUAUAGUGGAGUCCCUAGUCAAAAAGAGAUUGAACAUCAAGGCCUAUACAAUCGCAGAAAAGGUGCUUAUAGAUAUAAUUAUAAACCAUGAGACAAAUUGCUUGCAAAUUCUAAAUCCCAAUAACACAAUACUGUAAAUUCUAAAUCUAGAUCCAAUGUGGUUGGGCAGAGCUAUCAGAAGCAGAGUGAUUUAGCUAUAAAAAACCAAUCACCAUUUUAUUUCAGUUCCACACUUUAAUAGAAAAUCAGGUAAAUAACAAUCAAUAGAUGGAAUAUAUCAUCAUUGACAUUUCAGUUACAGAAUAAGCUAAAAAGCAGCCAUCAUGAGGUGAGCAAGACAAAAUUAGAGAAGUGAUCCAGCCGUGGGGUUAUCAACAGGCAGAAGUUCAAAGGUGACAAUGUAAAAUAUACACCAUAAAUCCUAUCUCAUUUCAGUUACAUUUGAGAAAAGUCAGCCAUGAAUUCAGCAGGCACAAAUAAAAUCAUUUCAGUUACAUAAUCAGCCUAAUUGCAGCAGUAAAGAGCAAUAAAAGAGCAUAAUUCUUAUAAGCUACUGGAUCACAAUAGGUAGCCAGGGAAUAUUUUUUUGUCAAUUCAAGAGGCUCAUCCGAAGGCUAUAUAUAGCACACCACACUCACAGAAAAAAGGGGAGAUAAAAAAAAAGAUAGUGAUAUAAAGAGAACAUUCAGAGCAUACACAUAGGCGCAGUAACAAAGGGUUAUAACACAAGGAAUUCAGGAAGAGAUCAUAACGCAGAAAAGAGAAUAUACCACAAGUACACAUAGGAUACCCAGAAGGAUUGACACUCAGGUUUCAAAGAGGAUAAGGCAUAUACCUACGUAAAUUAUUCACAAAACAGUAAUGCUUUUUAAUCAUUAUGUAUCACACGCUGAAAUUGGUACAAACAAUAAUCAUAUCAUAUACAUAAAACACAUAUUUUACUCAUUCGGUCCCGACUAAAAGAUACCUAUCUUCUCUACCUUUUGUUUGCUUAGUUAGACAUAAAGAUGUAUAUAUGCCAAAAUGAUAUACAGGUUAUAAAAGUCAAGCAUAUCCUAUUUCUUAAAGUAUGACAGUAAAAUAAGAACCGCAUAAGUCCCCGAGUCAUAAUUCUACAAUUAAACAGCAUAAUGCUAAUCCAAUCCUCUCUUUAGGGUGUGUAAUUAAGAUUUCGUAAUCAUCCCCAUACAGAAUCAUUGUUAAGCGUAAUAGAAAAGGGACAACCAAAUCCAUACCUUACCCCGACGACCCCCCGAGAGAAUAGGGACUUAAAUCGGAAAAACACCGCAAACCAUCUCACCAUAUAGCCUUCACUCUCCUUCGAUUCACCUAUCAAACAAAACCAAAUAGCAACCUAACAUCACCAAAGCUAGUCGAAGAAGAAACGAGAAAGGUAUAAGGAAAUGAAGUUCACCUUCAUCAAGGCUAAAGGGAGAAGAGAAGAAAAAGUGACCCCAACCGUGAAUAAUCCCUUGAAGAGCCAUGAUAGCUCGAAUCACAAACCAUGAUGCAGUUUUCUCCAUUGAUUUUGCCAUGACCACAUCGCUGGAACGAUAGAGAAGAAGAAGAUCACUACGAUUCGUUUCCGGGGAAGCUUAAAAAAUGAGACCAUAGACUUGCAGCCAAGACGUCCUAACUUGCAUGAUUUCGGUCACCAUCAACUCCCAAUCACUGUCGUGGCCAUUAAAACUGAGAAGAGAAAGCAAAAAUAUGGGGUAUUAAGGAUUUAGAAAUCCUCAUUUAGGGGUUUUCUUUUAGUGCUGAAAGAACCCGUGCCACCCCUGGU
Molecule: long non-coding RNA, 2074 nt
Filed under: Lupinus angustifolius (narrow-leaved blue lupine)
Lineage: Eukaryota; Viridiplantae; Streptophyta; Magnoliopsida; Fabales; Fabaceae
Description: long non-coding RNA (LANG_LNC003244)
Source: RNAcentral